UACGUAGGUGGCAAGCGAUACUCGGAAUCACUAGGCGUAAAGCGCAGGUAGGCGGUUGGAUAAGUCUGUUGUGAAAGCUCCCGGCUUAACUGGGAGAGGUCAACGGAAACUAUCCGGCUGGAGUGUGGUAGAGGUAGCUGGAAUUCCCGGUGUAGCGGUGAAAUGCGUAGAUAUCGGGAGGAAUACCUAUGGCGAAAGCAGGCUACUGGACCAUCACUGACGCUGAUCUGCGAAAGCUAGGGGAGCAAAC
Molecule: ribosomal RNA, 250 nt
Filed under: uncultured bacterium
Lineage: Bacteria
Description: partial 16S ribosomal RNA
Rfam family: Bacterial small subunit ribosomal RNA
Source: RNAcentral